CCCUUAGAUGUUCUGGGCUGCACGCGCGCUACACUGAAGCGUUCAACGAGUAUUCACCUUGCCCGGGAGGGUUGGGUAAUCUUUUGAAAACGCUUCGUGAUGGGGAUAGAUUAUUGCAAUUAUUAAUCUUCAACGAGGAAUUCCUAGUAAGCGCGAGUCAUCAGCUCGUGCUGAUUACGUCCCUGCCCUUUGUACACACCGCCCGUCGCUACUACUGAUUGGGUGUUCAAGUGAGAUGCUUAGACCCUUGUUGCAUGGUUCAUUAUUGUGCUCCGAAAGGAAAAAGUUUCAAGCUUGAGUGUCUAGAGGAAGUAAAAGUCGUAACA
RNAcentral lists this ribosomal RNA (326 nucleotides) under uncultured eukaryote. RNAcentral describes it as "partial 18S ribosomal RNA". It matches the Rfam family "Eukaryotic small subunit ribosomal RNA", at positions 1470 to 1796 of the family's 1831-position model. The record is from RNAcentral.